This 432-nucleotide ribosomal RNA is filed under the name uncultured bacterium. Its description in RNAcentral is "partial 16S ribosomal RNA". It matches the Rfam family "Bacterial small subunit ribosomal RNA", at positions 29 to 507 of the family's 1533-position model. The record is from RNAcentral.
ACGAACGCUGGCGGCAUGCCUAACACCUGCCGGUCGAACGAGACCUUCGGGUCUAGUGGCGCACGGGUGCGUCACGCGUGGGAACCUGCCCUUAGGUUCGGAAUAACUCCCCGAAAGGGGUGCUAAUACCGGAUAAUGUCUUCGGACCAAAGAUUUAUCGCCUUUGGAUGGGCCCGCGUUGGAUUAGCUAGUUGGUAGGGUAAAAGCCUACCAAGGCGACGAUCCAUAGCUGGUCUGAGAGGAUGAUCAGCCACACUGGGACUGAGACACGGCCCAGACUCCUACGGGAGGCAGCAGUGGGGAAUAUUGGACAAUGGGCGAAAGCCUGAUCCAGCAAUGCCGCGUGAGUGAUGAAGGCCUUAGGGUUGUAAAGCUCUUUUACCCGGGAUGAUAAUGACAGUACCGGGAGAAUAAGCUCCGGCUAACUCCGUG